UCAGUGCUAUAUGGGGAGGAUGAUUGCCCUUUGCCUCGAGGAGAUUCUCGGAGGAACAUAGACCGGCCAUCUGAGUCUUCGUCAGAGGAAUCUGAGGUAGGGUCGGAGGAAGAUGAUCUUGAUUCUGAGAAAGACGGCCUCCACCCUAGGUCAGAAGUGGCCCCUACUAUUAAUGUUGAGAGCUCUGGCCCCAGGGACACCGAGCUUCCUUCGGGGAUGGCUGUAAAUAGAGAUAAUGCAGGCGAGGGUGUACUUACUGAUGUAAGUCCUUUAAGGACUAUUUAUCCUCCUUCCU
Molecule: long non-coding RNA, 295 nt
Filed under: Manihot esculenta (cassava)
Lineage: Eukaryota; Viridiplantae; Streptophyta; Magnoliopsida; Malpighiales; Euphorbiaceae
Description: long non-coding RNA (MESC_LNC013095)
Source: RNAcentral